GCGGACAUGGCGUAAUGGAAGCCGCGAUAGACUUAGGAUCUAUUGGGGAGACCCGUGCAGGUUCGAAUCCUGUUGUCCGCACCA
RNAcentral lists this transfer RNA (84 nucleotides) under Candidatus Alloenteromonas pullistercoris. Its description in RNAcentral is "tRNA-Leu". It matches the Rfam family "tRNA". From Rfam's summary of the family: Transfer RNA (tRNA) molecules are approximately 80 nucleotides in length. Their secondary structure includes four short double-helical elements and three loops (D, anti-codon, and T loops). The record is from RNAcentral. Lineage: Bacteria; Bacillati; Bacillota.